CGAUUAUGGCUCAGAUUGAACGCUGGCGGAUGGCACAUGCAAGUCGAACGGCAGCACGGACUUCGGUCUGGUGGCGAGUGGCGAACGGGUGAGUAAUGUAUCGGAACGUGCCUAGUAGCGGGGGAUAACUACGCGAAAGCGCUAGCUAAUACGCCCUUCGGGGAAAGCGGGGGACCUUCGGGCCACUCGCACUAUUAGAGCGGCCGAUAUCGGAUUAGCUUCUAGUUGGUGGGGUAACGGCUCACCAAGGCGACGAUCCGUAGCUGGUUUGAGAGGACGACCAGCCACACUGGGACUGAGACGUGAACUCCUACGGAGGCAGCAGUGGGGAAUUUUGGACAAUGGGGGAAACCUGAUCCAGCCAUCCCGCGUGUGCGAUGAAGGCCUUCCGGGUUGUAAAGCACUUUUGGCAGGGAAAGAAACGGCACGGGAUAAUACCCCGUGCAACUGACGAACACCUGCAGAAUAAGCACCGGCUAACUACGUGCCAGCAGCCGCCUUGACGAUGGCCAUUAAGUGCAAGCGUUAAUCAGAUUACUGGGCGUAAAGCGUGCGCAGGCGGUUCGGAAAGAAAGAUGUGAAAUCCCAGAGCUUAACUUUGAACUGCAUUUUAACUGCGAGCUAGAGUGUGUCAGGGAGGUGGAAUUCCGCGUGUAGCAGUGAAAAUGCGUAGAUAUGCGGAGGAACACCGAUGGCGAAAACAGCCUCCUGGGAUAACGCAGCGCUCAUGCACGGCAUUAAGGGGAGCAAACAGGAUUAGAAUACCCUGGUAGUCCACGCCCUAAACGAUGUCAACUAGCUGUUGGGGCCUUCGGAGCCUUGGUAGCGCAACUAACGCGUGAGAUUGACCGCCUGGGAAGUACGGUCGCAAAGAUUAAAACUCAAAGGAAUUGACGGGGACCCGCACAAGCGGUGGAUGAUGUAGUUAAUUCGAUGCAGCACUUGAAAAACCUUACCUACCCUUGACAUGUCUGGAAUCGAGAUUUGGGAGUGCUCGCAAAGAGAACCGGAACACAGGUGCUGCAUGGCUGUCGUCAGCUCGUGUCGUGAGAUGUUGGGUUAAGUCCCGCAACGAGCGCAACCCUUGUCGUGGGUUGCACAGGCACUCCUAAUGAGACUGCCGGUGACAAACCGGAGGAAGGUGGGGAUGACGUCAAGUCCUCAUGGCCCUUAUGGGUAGGGCACGUCAUACAAUGGUCGGGACAGAGGUCGCCAACCCGCGAGGGGAACCCAAUCCCAGAAACCCGAUCGUAGUCCGGAUCGCAGUCUGCAACUCGACUGCGUGAAGUCGGAAUCCGCUGUGUCGCGGAUCAGCAUGUCGCGGUGAAUACGUUCCCGGGUCUUGUACACGCCCGUCACGCAGCGGGAGUGGGUUUUACCAGAAGUAAGUUAGCUAACCGUAAGGAGGGCGAUUACACGGUAGGAUUUCAUGACUGGGGUGAAGUCGUAACAAGGUA
RNAcentral lists this ribosomal RNA (1457 nucleotides) under uncultured Bordetella sp. Its description in RNAcentral is "partial 16S-23S ribosomal RNA intergenic spacer". It matches the Rfam family "Bacterial small subunit ribosomal RNA". The record is from RNAcentral. Lineage: Bacteria; Pseudomonadati; Pseudomonadota; Betaproteobacteria; Burkholderiales; Alcaligenaceae.